Molecule: ribosomal RNA, 472 nt
Filed under: uncultured bacterium
Lineage: Bacteria
Description: SSU rRNA
Rfam family: Bacterial small subunit ribosomal RNA
Source: RNAcentral
AGGACGAACGCUGGCGGCGUGCUUAACACAUGCAAGUCGAGCGGAAAGGCCCUUCGGGGUACUCGAGCGGCGAACGGGUGAGUAACACGUGAGCAACCUGCCCCUAGCUCUGGGAUAGCUCCGGGAAACCGGGAUUAAUACCAGAUACAACCACUUUAGACAUCUGUUGUGGUGGAAAGGAUUCUGGCUAGGGAUGGGCUCGCGGCCUAUCAGCUUGUUGGUGGGGUAACGGCCUACCAAGGCGACGACGGGUAGCCGGCCUGAGAGGGCGACCGGCCACACUGGGACUGAGACACGGCCCAGACUCCUACGGGAGGCAGCAGUGGGGAAUAUUGCGCAAUGGGCGAAAGCCUGACGCAGCGACGCCGCGUGGGGGAUGAAGGCCUUCGGGUUGUAAACCCCUUUCAGCAGGGACGAGCGAAGUGACGGUACCUGCAGAAGAAGCGCCGGCUAACUACGUGCCAGCAGCCGC